RNAcentral lists this ribosomal RNA (468 nucleotides) under uncultured bacterium. RNAcentral describes it as "partial 16S ribosomal RNA". It matches the Rfam family "Bacterial small subunit ribosomal RNA", at positions 28 to 507 of the family's 1533-position model. The record is from RNAcentral.
GACGAACGCUGGCGGCGUGCUUAACACAUGCAAGUCGAACGGAAAGGCCCUGCUUGCAGGGUGCUCGAGUGGCGAACGGGUGAGUAACACGUGGGUGAUCUGCCCCUUACUCUGGGAUAAGCCUGGGAAACUGGGUCUAAUACUGGAUAGGACCAUGCUGUAGGUGGUGUGGUGGAAAGAUUAGUUUCGGUAAGGGAUGAGCUCGCGGCCUAUCAGCUUGUUGGUGGGGUAAUGGCCUACCAAGGCGUCGACGGGUAGCCGGCCUGAGAGGGUGGACGGCCACAUUGGGACUGAGAUACGGCCCAGACUCCUACGGGAGGCAGCAAUGGGGAAUAUUGCACAAUGGGCGCAAGCCUGAUGCAGCGACGCCGCGUGGGGGAUGACGGCCUUCGGGUUGUAAACUCCUUUCAGCCAUGACGAAGCCUUCGGGUGACGGUAGUGGUAGAAGAAGCACCGGCUAACUACGUG